ACGUACACUCCUACGGGAGGCAGCAGUGAGGAAUAUUGGACAAUGGGUGGAAGCCUGAUCCAGCCAUCCCGCGUGCAGGAAGACGGCCCUAUGGGUUGUAAACUGCUUUUAUCUGGGGAUAAACCUACUUACGUGUAAGUAGCUGAAGGUACCAGAAGAAUAAGCACCGGCUAACUCCGUGCCAGCAGCCGCGGUAAUACGGAGGGUGCAAGCGUUAUCCGGAUUUAUUGGGUUUAAAGGGUCCGUAGGCGGACUGAUAAGUCAGUGGUGAAAUCCGACAGCUUAACUGUCGAACUGCCAUUGAUACUGUUAGUCUUGAGUAAGGUUGAAGUGGCUGGAAUAAGUAGUGUAGCGGUGAAAUGCAUAGAUAUUACUUAGAACACCAAUUGCGAAGGCAGGUCACUAAGUCUUAACUGACGCUGAUGGACGAAAGCGUGGGGAGCGAACAGGAUUAGAAACCCGGGUAGUCCCA
RNAcentral lists this ribosomal RNA (472 nucleotides) under uncultured organism. RNAcentral's name for it is "partial 16S ribosomal RNA". It matches the Rfam family "Bacterial small subunit ribosomal RNA", at positions 329 to 797 of the family's 1533-position model. The record is from RNAcentral.